Molecule: ribosomal RNA, 465 nt
Filed under: uncultured bacterium
Lineage: Bacteria
Description: partial 16S ribosomal RNA
Rfam family: Bacterial small subunit ribosomal RNA
Source: RNAcentral
GACGAACGCUGGCGGCGUGCUUAACACAUGCAAGUCGUACGGUAAGGCCCUUUCGGGGGUCCACGAGUGGCGAACGGGUGAGUAACACGUGAGUAACCUGCCCACAACUUUGGGAUAACGCUAGGAAACUGGUGCUAAUACUGGAUAUGUGCUCCUGCUGCAUGGUGGGGGUUGGAAAGCUCCGGCGGUUGUGGAUGGACUCGCGGCCUAUCAGCUUGUUGGUGGGGUAGUGGCCUACCAAGGCGGCGACGGGUAGCCGGCCUGAGAGGGUGACCGGCCACAUUGGGACUGAGAUACGGCCCAGACUCCUACGGGAGGCAGCAGUGGGGAAUAUUGCACAAUGGGCGCAAGCCUGAUGCAGCAACGCCGCGGGCGGGAUGACGGACUUCGGGUUGUAAACCGCUUUCAGCAGGGACGAAGCUUUUUGUGACGGUACCUGCAGAAGAAGCACCGGCUAACUACGUG